Salmo salar (Atlantic salmon) is the source of this 54-nucleotide non-coding RNA. Lineage: Eukaryota; Metazoa; Chordata; Actinopteri; Salmoniformes; Salmonidae. The record is from Rfam.
UGCAGUCAAUACUGUAAGCCGCUUUGGAUAAAAGCGUCUGCUAAAUGACAAAUG